This 82-nucleotide transfer RNA is filed under the name Crucibulum laeve. RNAcentral's name for it is "tRNA-Val". The record is from RNAcentral. Lineage: Eukaryota; Fungi; Basidiomycota; Agaricomycetes; Agaricales; Nidulariaceae.
GGGUCGAUGGCGUAGCUGGUUAUCGCAUCUGUCUAACACUCGUGUUCACAGAAGGUCCUCAGUUCGAACCUGGGUCGACUCA